UGGGCGCAAGCCUGAUCCAGCCAUACCGCGUGGGUGAAGAAGGCCUUCGGGUUGUAAAGCCCUUUUGUUGGGAAAGAAAUCCAGCCGGCUAAUACCUGGUUGGGAUGACGGUACCCAAAGAAUAAGCACCGGCUAACUUCGUGCCAGCAGCCGCGGUAAUACGAAGGGUGCAAGCGUUACUCGGAAUUACUGGGCGUAAAGCGUGCGUAGGUGGUUAUUUAAGUCCGUUGUGAAAGCCCUGGGCUCAACCUGGGAACUGCAGUGGAUACUGGAUGACUAGAAUGUGGUAGAGGGUAGCGGAAUUCCUGGUGUAGCAGUGAAAUGCGUAGAGAUCAGGAGGAACAUCCAUGGCGAAGGCAGCUACCUGGACCAACAUUGACACUGAGGCACGAAAGCGUGGGGAGCAAACAGGAUUAGAUACCCUGGUAGUCCACGCCCUAAACGAUGCGAACUGGAUGUUGGGUGCAAUUUGGCACGCAGUAUCGAAGCUAACGCGUAAGUCGCCGCCUGGGAGACG
This 517-nucleotide ribosomal RNA is filed under the name uncultured bacterium. Its description in RNAcentral is "bacterial SSU rRNA". It matches the Rfam family "Bacterial small subunit ribosomal RNA", at positions 372 to 884 of the family's 1533-position model. The record is from RNAcentral.